UUGACUUCUCUGGAUUGUUUGUCUAAGA
This 28-nucleotide unclassified non-coding RNA is filed under the name Mus musculus (house mouse). RNAcentral describes it as "oocyte_clustered_small_RNA6689". Lineage: Eukaryota; Metazoa; Chordata; Mammalia; Rodentia; Muridae. The record is from RNAcentral.